RNAcentral lists this ribosomal RNA (253 nucleotides) under uncultured bacterium. RNAcentral's name for it is "partial 16S ribosomal RNA". It matches the Rfam family "Bacterial small subunit ribosomal RNA", at positions 524 to 776 of the family's 1533-position model. The record is from RNAcentral.
UACGUAGGCAGCGAGCGUUGUUCGGAAUUACUGGGCGUAAAGAGUGUGUAGGCGGUGCUCUAAGUAUGGUGUGAAAUCUCCCGGCUUAACUGGGAGGGUGCGCUAUAGACUGUGGGACUAGAGUGUGGGAGAGGAAAGUGGAAUUCCUGGUGUAGCGGUGAAAUGCGUAGAUAUCAGGAGGAACACCGGUGGUGUAAACGGCUUUCUGGACCAUAACUGACGCUGAGGCACGAAAGCGUGGGUAGCAAACAGG